UGCGUAGUCGGUUAUUUAAGUCGGGUGUGAAAUCCCCGGGCUCAACCUGGGAAUUGCAUUCGAUACUGGAUAGCUAGAGUUCGGCAGAGGGAAGCGGAAUUUCGGGUGUAGCGGUGAAAUGCGUAGAUAUCCGAAGGAACAUCAGUGGCGAAAGCGGCUUCCUGGACCAGAACUGACGAUCAGGCACGAAAGCGUGGGGAGCAAACAGGAUUAGAUACCCUGGUAGUCCACGCCAUAAACGAUGACAACUAGACGUUGGGAGGGUAAGCCUCACAGUGUCGCAGCUAACGCGUUAAGUUGUCCGCCUGGGGAGUACGGCCGCAAGGUUGAA
RNAcentral lists this ribosomal RNA (331 nucleotides) under uncultured Pseudomonadota bacterium. RNAcentral's name for it is "bacterial SSU rRNA". It matches the Rfam family "Bacterial small subunit ribosomal RNA", at positions 568 to 898 of the family's 1533-position model. The record is from RNAcentral. Lineage: Bacteria; Pseudomonadati; Pseudomonadota.